UACGAAGGUGGCAAGCGUUGUUCGGAUUUACUGGGCGUACAGGGAGCGUAGGCGGUUGGAUAAGCCCUCCGUGAAAUCUCCAGGCUUAACCUGGAAAGUGCAGAGGGGACUGUUCAGCUAGAGGAUGGGAGAGGAGCGCGGAAUUCCCGGUGUAGCGGUGAAAUGCGUAGAGAUCGGGAGGAAGGCCGGUGGCGAAGGCGGCGCUCUGGACCGAGAUUGACGCUGAGGCGCGAAAGCCAGGGGAGCAAACGGG
This 253-nucleotide ribosomal RNA is filed under the name uncultured bacterium. Its description in RNAcentral is "partial 16S ribosomal RNA". It matches the Rfam family "Bacterial small subunit ribosomal RNA", at positions 524 to 776 of the family's 1533-position model. The record is from RNAcentral.